Molecule: ribosomal RNA, 39 nt
Filed under: Cokeromyces recurvatus
Lineage: Eukaryota; Fungi; Mucoromycota; Mucoromycetes; Mucorales; Mucoraceae
Description: partial 28S ribosomal RNA
Source: RNAcentral
UCUUGAUCUGAGUCAGGUAAGAGUACCCGCUGAACUUAA